This 746-nucleotide ribosomal RNA is filed under the name uncultured Flavobacteriia bacterium. Its description in RNAcentral is "bacterial SSU rRNA". It matches the Rfam family "Bacterial small subunit ribosomal RNA", at positions 60 to 795 of the family's 1533-position model. Lineage: Bacteria; Pseudomonadati; Bacteroidota; Flavobacteriia. The record is from RNAcentral.
AGUCGAGGGGUAACAGGGAUUGCUUGCAAUCCGCUGACGACCGGCGCACGGGUGCGUAACGCGUAUGCAACCUACCUUCUACAGGGGGAUAGUCAAUAGAAAUGUUGAAUAAUACCCCAUACGAUCAUGAAUUGGCAUCAAUUUAUGAGGAAAGUUCCGGCGGUAGAAGAUGGGCAUGCGUCCUAUUAGUUAGUUGGUAAGGUAACGGCUUACCAAGACAUCGAUAGGUAGGGGUCCUGAGAGGGAGAUCCCCCACACUGGUACUGAGACACGGACCAGACUCCUACGGGAGGCAGCAGUGAGGAAUAUUGGACAAUGGAGGCAACUCUGAUCCAGCCAUGCCGCGUGCAGGAAGACGGCCCUAUGGGUUGUAAACUGCUUUUAUACAGGAAGAAUGGUACCUACGUGUAGGUAUUUGACGGUACUGUACGAAUAAGGAUCGGCUAACUCCGUGCCAGCAGCCGCGGUAAUACGGAGGGUCCGAGCGUUAUCCGGAAUUAUUGGGUUUAAAGGGUCCGUAGGCGGAUGAUUAAGUCAGGGGUGAAAGUUUGCAGCUCAACUGUAAAAUUGCCUUUGAUACUGGUUAUCUUGAAUUGUAUUGAAGUAGGCGGAAUAUGUAGUGUAGCGGUGAAAUGCAUAGAUAUUACAUAGAACACCAAUUGCGAAGGCAGCUUACUAAGUACUAAUUGACACUGAGGGACGAAAGCGUGGGGAGCGAACAGGAUUAGAUACCCUGGUAGAAGGGC